Molecule: small RNA, 32 nt
Filed under: Bombyx mori (domestic silkworm)
Lineage: Eukaryota; Metazoa; Arthropoda; Insecta; Lepidoptera; Bombycidae
Description: ovarian small RNA-2355
Source: RNAcentral
UUCCUACCUAUGCUGAUAGCCUUGAGAGGCUA